This is a long non-coding RNA of Orcinus orca (killer whale), 758 nucleotides long. RefSeq lists it as uncharacterized. The record is from RefSeq and is a predicted model, not a curated record. NCBI's taxonomy places the organism in Eukaryota, Metazoa, Chordata, Mammalia, Artiodactyla, Delphinidae. The transcript has 3 exons.
CUUGGCUGGACUUCUUCCCUGUUCUUAAGUCUCACCUUUUUUCCCAUGAAGACCAGUCACUCUUAAUAGCCCUUGUCUUCUCCUCUGGCCUCCUCUGCCUGUUGUUAUUAGUUUGUUUUUUUAACUGAGGUAUAAUUUACAUUCCAUAAAAGGUGUAGCUUGUAAGUGCACAGUUGGUGAGUUUUGACCAUGGCAUGCACCAGACACCAUAUCCUACUGAGAAAAUGACGUCUUAGACUUGAAAUAAACUGUUUUGGUUCCUCAGGCAGAGCAAAGAAGCCUACCUAGCCUCUCCUGCUUUUCAAGGCAAAAGGAUUCUGUGACAUCAAUGACGUGUCACUCAAUGAGAAGCAAAUCUCUGUUAUGGGCCCACCUACUUUAGCAAUAGUGGUAUGGACAAUUCAUAAGGGACCACAAGGCAGAAGACCGCUGGGAUUCUGAUCAGUUGCUCAGACCACAAGAUGCUCUGUGGCUCAGCUGGGGAAGGAGUUGCCCAGGAGUCUUGGCAGCUAGACUUAGAAAAGCACCGAAUCAGAGCUUCUGGCAAUGCUGUUCAAUUUCUUCAGUGGGUCAUGACCUUGGAAACAGGAAAGUCAGCUGAAACACAGUGACUGGUCACUGAUCCACUGAGAUUCUGGAAGUGCUGGACUUGCUAAUCUCAGGCAGCCAUGCCCUGCUGUCACCUGCCAUGACCUGCCAAGCCUAUUGUGGAAAGAUUGUAGAUACCGACCCAGCUCUGAGAACUACCAACACUAGUG